This 1279-nucleotide ribosomal RNA is filed under the name Cellana tramoserica. RNAcentral describes it as "partial large subunit ribosomal RNA". The stretch from base 657 to 1279 matches the Rfam family "Archaeal large subunit ribosomal RNA", at positions 1423 to 2689 of the family's 2987-position model. The record is from RNAcentral. Lineage: Eukaryota; Metazoa; Mollusca; Gastropoda; Nacellidae.
UAAAGUAUAGUAUAAUAAAUUACGUUUCACUUACACUGAAAUAAUUUCUAUAUAAGAAUACUUUAAUUUAACUAAAAUAAAACCAAAUCUCCAAAAAAAUCUAUAAAUCUUUACAUCCCUAGUAAAUAAGACCAGAAAAGAACAUUUCCAAAAUACAAGUAACGCAAGUGAAGUCAAACAAAAAUAAAAAAGUAGGACUAUAUCACCGUACCUUUAGCAUCAUGGUUAAAUAAAAAAUAAAAAAAAUAACCUUCCCGAAAUAAAAAUGAUCUAUUUUUUUACAAAGAUUUUAUAUAGCAACAUAAUUCCCAGAUAAAAAAAUAGAGGUGAAAUUCCAAUCGCAUUUUAAGAUAGCUGGUUCUUCAAAAAAUACAUAUAAGUGUUACAGUAAUUCUCUUAAAAACUAAUUUCUAAAAACAAGAAAAUUACCAGUCAUAAAAUUAAGGAUAAGCUUAAUUUUAAAUUGUGAAUAAACGCACUAUAAUUUAUCAAGUAGGCCUAAAACCAGCCACCUAAAGAAACCGUUAUAGACCAAUUAAACAAAAUACAAAAUACCUAUUAAAUAUUUCCUAUAACUAUAUUGAAGUAUAUUGAAAGUACGGUAAUCAAUACAAAGAAUUUUUAAACAAGUAAUAAAUCAAUUAUAGCGUUAAUUAUCUCAUUUCAAUAAUUAAAAAAAUGAAAAAACCAUAAUAAAAAGAUAAAAUAAAAAAAAGGAACUCGGCAAAAACUUAUUCCACCUGUUUACCAAAAACAUGGCUCUUUGUAAUAAAAAAAUAAAGAGUCAGACCUGCUCAAUGAUUUUUAUAAUUAAAUAGCCGCGGUACCCUGACCGUGCAAAGGUAGCAUAAUCACUUGCCUCUUAAUUAGUGGCUAGCAUGAAAGGUUCAAUGAGAAUAAAACUGUCUCUUUUUUAAUCUAUCGAAACUACCUACUAGGUGAAAAGGCCUAGAUCUUCAUACAAGACAAUAAGACCCUAUCGAGCUUUAGGUUAAAAUCUUACAUACAAAAUCAAAAAGAAAUUAUACCUUUAGUUGGGGCGACUAAGGAACAAACAAAACUUCCUAAUACAAAAACACAAACUAGUUACGACCCGGAGAACAUCCGAUAAAAGAAAAAAGCUACCGUAGGGAUAACAGCGUAAUUUUCUUUGUGAGCUCUUAUUAAAAAGAAAGUUUGCGACCUCGAUGUUGGAUUAAGGUAUCCUAAAGACGCAGCAGUCUUAAAAGGUUGGUUUGUUCAACCAUUAAAACCUUACGUGAUCUGAGUUCAAAACGGC